This 243-nucleotide long non-coding RNA is filed under the name Helianthus annuus (common sunflower). RNAcentral describes it as "sRNA HanXRQr2_Chr12g0536201". Lineage: Eukaryota; Viridiplantae; Streptophyta; Magnoliopsida; Asterales; Asteraceae. The record is from RNAcentral.
UUGUGAUUCUCAUCUUCUACAACACCAAGAUGGUAGAAUUUUGUGAACCAUUGAGUGCUAUGGGUAUAAAUGUGCAUGGUGACGAAGAAAGGGAAAGGAGUUGCAAGUUCUUCUAAUGCGCCUCAAGGGGAUGAUGCGCAACAAAAGAGAAGACGAUUGGCUCGGAUAGGAGACCCGGACUUGGAGGAGGAUGCACCUCCAAUGGGUCCGAAGCCGGAUUGGACAUCCGGUUCAUUGUUAGAC